GCGCGCACACGAAGCUAGCCCAAGGAAAUACAAAAAUAAUUGCCAGCCCCUGUAGCACGUCGUCUUAUUUUCCAGCCGCGGCGCACAAGAUAAGGCGAGCGCCCGCGCCCUCGUCUCCCCCACGGCGAGCUCCGCCUCCUGCGUGCGGUCGCCGCCUCCCUCGACCUCCACCAUCUGCUCCCGUGCUCCCCUUCUUCCCCCAUCUCGCGCUGCCAUGGAAGGAAGGGCAUGGCCCUGCGAGCGGCCGCGACGAGGCUCGCGUCCUCCAGCCUCCGCCGCCGCCACGGCCACCUCCUGCCGGCAGCCGCCACCAGCUUCAGAUUCAAGCAGGUGCGCGAGGACGAGAAGAGCAAGCUGGUUGGAAAUGGAGAAGAUGUUCAGGCGCGGCGCGACGGGCGGAGCAGCAGAGGUUCAGGCGCCGCGCGGCGGGCGGAGCAGGAGAGGUUCAUGGGCGGUGGAGCAGGAGAGGUUCAUGGGCGGUGCCCUUGUCUAAUCUAAUGGUCGUUUCUGAUGCAGUUAACAAAUUAUAUUGCCUUGUACGUACUACUUUUUAACAAAUUGGCUCCUACGAAGACUAAUGGAAGGAUCAUCAGACCAACGUUGUCAAAUGGCUGCUUCAAAUUUUUGGCCUUGGAGCUGAUCAGCAGCACGCGGACAUGCAUCAGGAAGCCGACGGACAGCCAGAGCAGGAAGGCGUGGAUCUUGAGCUGCAGCGACAACAACAACUUGGGCGUUGCCUGCAAAAAAAACAACUGUUCAAGUGCUCAAUCAAGUGUAAGUUUGCUUUCAGUCAAUUAUUGCAGUUCUACAAUGACACAUUCAGAUUCUUGCAUCCAAAGUUAGAUAUAUAGGAACAGGGAAAGAAUCUCCAACGCUUAUUUACAUGGGAAAGAACACUCUUGUAACUUUGGUUCAGAUCCUCAGUCUAUCUGAAGCACCAUAGCAUAGAUUGAGUUUGCAAGCAAAAGGGUCACACAAUCUGACAGUACAAGGAGCAGUCUUUUCCUUCACAUCUUUGUUUUAGCUUGCAUCCGACAGUUGUGUGCUCCAAGAUUAGGCAACCAAAACUGAACUUAUGACUACAUGAGUGCAUGAACAACUGUUAAUAUCUCUUAUUUGACUCAUCUUUGGAUUGGCUGGAGACGAGAUUCUCUGGCUUUGGGGAUGGUCCUUUGGCGUUCUAUUGGGGUUCUAUUCAUGUGCACUAGGCACUUCUCAACACUUCCAUAAUUAUUCUAGAACCUCUUUAAAUUUGCAGUGCUCAUCAAUUGUACAGGUUUUGCAGUCAACUAUUCAGAUUAUUGACUAGGGACGAUAUUUUCAGUCCUACUGAGUCUGCAAAGGAUGCGCCAAGCCAAGAUUAAUUAUGGUUUUUUUUGUAAAUUGCAUCGGUUUACUUAUGUACCUGCUCCUUAGAUGAUUGUUAAUUUGUGAUUCAGUCGUGGAAAUUUGGGUGCUUUCUUCGAGUGUCCUGAAAAAUGGUUCAACGCGUGUUUGCCAGAAACUGUAGAUUAGCCAGACUCGUGUGUUGAGCAUGUCAGUCUAUGUGUGGGCACGAGCGAAAAUGUAAAUUAUGUUAGAGACGAGUUUCUGGAAAAAAUCCUGGAGACGCGCUGCUGCUGCUGCUCUGCUCUUGAUAGCCAAAGUGGAGGCUGCAGUUCUAAGACUUCAAGGAGGAAAGGAAUACAUGGUUGCUUCUUGGAGAGGUGUGUUGUUUCCCUGCAGAAAAAUAAAUCUCUUAGAGUUGUUUAACUGAACCUGUUCCACUGUCAUUUUUAUGUUCAGAUAAAAAUUGUUAUUGGUUACUCAA
Molecule: long non-coding RNA, 1810 nt
Organism: Aegilops tauschii subsp. strangulata
Lineage: Eukaryota; Viridiplantae; Streptophyta; Magnoliopsida; Poales; Poaceae
Source: RefSeq, a predicted model, not a curated record